RNAcentral lists this ribosomal RNA (440 nucleotides) under uncultured bacterium. Its description in RNAcentral is "bacterial SSU rRNA". It matches the Rfam family "Bacterial small subunit ribosomal RNA", at positions 338 to 795 of the family's 1533-position model. The record is from RNAcentral.
CCUACGGGCGGCUGCAGUGGGGAAUAUUGCACAAUGGGGAAAACCCUGAUGCAGCGACGCAGCGUGAGCGAUGAAGGCCUUCGGGUCGUAAAGCUCUGUCAAAAGGGAAGAAUAAUGACGUUACCGUAGGAGGAAGCCCCGGCUAACUACGUGUCAGCAGCCGCGGAAAUACGACGGGGGCGAGCGGUAAGCGGAAUCACUGGGCGUAAAGGGUGAGUAGGCGGCCCUUCAAGUCAGGAGUUAAAACCCUCGGCUGAAACGAGGUCAGCUCUUAAAACGCUAGGGGUGAAGUGCAGGAUAGGAGAGCGGAAUUCCUAGUGUAGCCGGGAAAUGCGUAGAUAUUAGGAGCAACACCAGGGGCGAAAGCGUCGAUUAGGACUGUAACUGACGCUGGGGCACGAAAGCGUGGGGAGCUAACCGGAUUAGAUGCACCGGUAGUC